Molecule: ribosomal RNA, 484 nt
Filed under: uncultured bacterium
Lineage: Bacteria
Description: partial 16S ribosomal RNA
Rfam family: Bacterial small subunit ribosomal RNA
Source: RNAcentral
AUUGAACGCUGGCGGCAGGCCUAACACAUGCAAGUCGAGCGGAUGAAGGGAGCUUGCUCCUGGAUUCAGCGGCGGACGGGUGAGUAAUGCCUAGGAAUCUGCCUGGCAGUGGGGGAUAACGUCCGGAAACGGGCGCUAAUACCGCAUACGCCCUGAGGGAGAAAGUGGGGGAUCUUCGGACCUCACGCGAUCAGAUGAGCCUAGGUCGGAUUAGCUAGCUGGUGGGGUAAAGGCCUACCAAGGCGACGAUCCGUAACUGGUCUGAGAGGAUGAUCAGUCACACUGGAACUGGAACACGGUCCAGGCUCCUGCGGGAGGCAGCAGUGGGGAAUAUUGGACAGUGGGCGGAAGCCUGGUCCAGCCAUGCGGAGUGUGUGGAGAAAGUCUUCGGAUUGUAAAGCAGUUUUAGUUGGGGGGAAGGGCAGUAAGUUAAUACCUUGCUGUUUUGACGUUACCAACAGAAUAAGCACCGGCUAACUUCGUG